AGAUUGAACGCUGGCGGCAGGCCUAACACAUGCAAGUCGAGCGGUAGAGAGGUGCUUGCAUCUCUUGAGAGCGGCGGACGGGUGAGUAAUGCCUAGGAAUCUGCCUAGUGGUGGGGGAUAACGUUCGGAAACGGACGCUAAUACCGCAUACGUCCUACGGGAGAAAGCGGGGGACCUUCGGGCCUCGCGCCAUUAGAUGAGCCUAGGUCGGAUUAGCUAGUUGGUGAGGUAAUGGCUCACCAAGGCGACGAUCCGUAACUGGUCUGAGAGGAUGAUCAGUCACACUGGAACUGAGACACGGUCCAGACUCCUACGGGAGGCAGCAGUGGGGAAUAUUGGACAAUGGGACGAAAGCCUGAUCCAGCCAUGCCGCGUGUGUGAAGAAGGUCUUCGGAUUGUAAAGCAACUUUAAGUGGGAAGGAAGGUUGUAAACCUAAUACGUUGACAACUUUGACGUUACCGAACAGAAUAAGCAACCGGCUAACUUCGCGACCAGCAGCCGA
RNAcentral lists this ribosomal RNA (503 nucleotides) under uncultured soil bacterium. Its description in RNAcentral is "bacterial SSU rRNA". It matches the Rfam family "Bacterial small subunit ribosomal RNA", at positions 26 to 518 of the family's 1533-position model. The record is from RNAcentral.